Molecule: ribosomal RNA, 246 nt
Filed under: uncultured bacterium
Lineage: Bacteria
Description: partial 16S ribosomal RNA
Rfam family: Bacterial small subunit ribosomal RNA
Source: RNAcentral
ACUCCUACGGGAGGCAGCAGUGGGGAAUCUUAGACAAUGGGGGAAACCCUGAUCUAGCCAUGCCGCGUGAGUGAUGAAGGCCCUAGGGUCGUAAAGCUCUUUCGCCAGGGAUGAUAAUGACAGUACCUGGUAAAGAAACCCCGGCUAACUCCGUGCCAGCAGCCGCGGUAAUACGGAGGGGUUAGCGUUGUUCGGAAUUACUGGGCGUAAAGCGCGCGUAGGCGGACUGGAAAGUUGGGGUGAAAU